Molecule: ribosomal RNA, 510 nt
Filed under: uncultured bacterium
Lineage: Bacteria
Description: partial 16S ribosomal RNA
Rfam family: Bacterial small subunit ribosomal RNA
Source: RNAcentral
GACGAACGCUGGCGGCGUGCUUAACACAUGCAAGUCGAACGAAGAGCGAUGGAAGCUUGCUUCUAUCAAUCUUAGUGGCGCACGGGUGAGUAACGCGUAAUCAACCUGCCCUUCAGAGGGGGACAACAGUUGGAAACGACUGCUAAUACCGCAUACGAUCUGACCUCGGCAUCGAGGAUAGAUGAAAGGUGGCCUCUAUUUAUAAGCUAUCACUGAAGGAGGGGAUUGCGUCUGAUUAGCUAGUUGGAGGGGUAACGGCCCACCAAGGCGAUGAUCAGUAGCCGGUCUGAGAGGAUGAACGGCCACAUUGGGACUGAGACACGGCCCAGACUCCUACGGGAGGCAGCAGUGGGGAAUCUUCCGCAAUGGACGAAAGUCUGACGGAGCAACGCCGCGUGAGUGAUGACGGCCUUCGGGUUGUAAAGCUCUGUUAAUCGGGACGAAAGGCCUUCUUGCGAAUAGUUAGAAGGAUUGACGGUACCGGAAGAGAAAGCCACGGCUAACUACGUG